CAGUAGCCACGGUAAUGCGGAGGGUGCGAGCGUUAAUCGGAAUUACUGGGCGUAAAGCGUACGCAGGCGGUUUGUUAAGUCAGAUGUGAAAUCCCCGGGCUUAACCCGGGAACUGCAUUUGAAACUGGCAGGCUAGAGUCUCGUAGAGGGGGGUAGAAUUCCAGGUGUAGCGGUGAAAUGCGUAGAGAUCUGGAGGAAUACCGGUGGCGAAGGCGGCCCCCUGGACGAAGACUGACGCUCAGGUACGAAAGCGUGGGGAGCAAACAGGAUUAGAGACCCGCGUAGUCCCUGUCUCUUAUAC
This 301-nucleotide ribosomal RNA is filed under the name uncultured bacterium. RNAcentral's name for it is "partial 16S ribosomal RNA". It matches the Rfam family "Bacterial small subunit ribosomal RNA", at positions 509 to 807 of the family's 1533-position model. The record is from RNAcentral.